RNAcentral lists this ribosomal RNA (456 nucleotides) under uncultured bacterium. RNAcentral describes it as "bacterial SSU rRNA". It matches the Rfam family "Bacterial small subunit ribosomal RNA", at positions 28 to 497 of the family's 1533-position model. The record is from RNAcentral.
GACGAACGCUGGCGGCGCGCCUAACACAUGCAAGUCGAACGAGAGAUGAGGAGCUUGCUCUUCAGAUCGAGUGGCGAACGGGUGAGUAACGCGUGAGGAACCUGCCUCAAAGAGGGGGACAACAGUUGGAAACGACUGCUAAUACCGCAUAAGCCCACAGCUCGGCAUCGAGCAGAGGGAAAAGGAGCAAUCCGCUUUGAGAUGGCCUCGCGUCCGAUUAGCUAGUUGGUGAGGUAACGGCCCACCAAGGCGACGAUCGGUAGCCGGACUGAGAGGUUGAACGGCCACAUUGGGACUGAGACACGGCCCAGACUCCUACGGGAGGCAGCAGUGGGGAAUAUUGCACAAUGGGGGAAACCCUGAUGCAGCGACGCCGCGUGGAGGAAGAAGGUCUUCGGAUUGUAAACUCCUGUUGUUGAGGAAGAUAAUGACGGUACUCAACAAGGAAGUGACGGC